UACGAAGGUGGCAAGCGUUGUUCGGAUUUACUGGGCGUAAAGGGCGCGUAGGUGGUUAUUUAAGUUUGAUGUGAAAUCCCUGGGCUUAACCUAGGAACUGCAUUGAAAACUGGAUAACUGGAGUACUGUAGAGGGUAGUGGAAUUUCCGGUGUAGCGGUGAAAUGCGUAGAGAUCGGAAGGAACACCAGUGGCGAAGGCGGCUACCUGGACAGAUACUGACACUGAGGCGCGAGAGCGUGGGGAGCAAACAGG
Molecule: ribosomal RNA, 253 nt
Filed under: uncultured bacterium
Lineage: Bacteria
Description: partial 16S ribosomal RNA
Rfam family: Bacterial small subunit ribosomal RNA
Source: RNAcentral